Molecule: long non-coding RNA, 553 nt
Organism: Suricata suricatta (meerkat)
Lineage: Eukaryota; Metazoa; Chordata; Mammalia; Carnivora; Herpestidae
Exons: 3
Source: RefSeq, a predicted model, not a curated record
UUUCGACACUCAGCUCCGCCUUUCUUAUAGGCCGAGGUCUGGCCGACCGAAACUACAACUCCCGGCAGGCUCCGGCAGGCUUGGCGACAGUUUGCGGGGCAGUACGGGAAUUGUAGGCUCAGGCCUUCGUGAUUGCUGCAAGCUGCGCUGGCCUUCCUCGUGCAGUCACUGCAGCGCUCGCCUUCAAUUUGCAGUUCUCAGCAAAUGCCUGAUUAUAAGAAUCAUCUGUGGGGCUGAUUAAAAGUGUAAAUUAACAGAUACAGAAAUGGAGACACAGAGUUUGUUGCCCUGAUCACAUAGCUAUAGACUGAAGAGGCGGCUUUGAACUCAGGUUUUUUGAAUCCAAAUCUUGCAGUGUUUAACCUAAGACUCAAGCAUCCAAGGUCACCUCAUUACGGCUCUGUGUGAAGACAGCACCCCAAAGGGGCCAUCGAUUUGGAACAUCCGAUCAGCUUUCUAAGUCACAUCCACUAGCUCGUAAAAUCCAAUAAAUGUCAAAGAUCUGUCAGGCCCAUUAACCUCUCGAGGUCUAUUAAAAGACUGCUUUCGCUAA